This 638-nucleotide ribosomal RNA is filed under the name uncultured bacterium. Its description in RNAcentral is "bacterial SSU rRNA". It matches the Rfam family "Bacterial small subunit ribosomal RNA", at positions 1 to 615 of the family's 1533-position model. The record is from RNAcentral.
ACGAUUAGAGUUUGAUCAUGGCUCAGAACGAACGCUGGCGGCGUGGAUAAGACAUGCAAGUUGAACGGUUGACGCAGGGUAGCAAUAUUCUGUGUCAGCAGUGGCGUAAGGGUGCUUAACACGUGGGUAAUCUGCCGCGAAGUGUGGGAUAACUCGCUGAAAGGCGAGCUAAUACCGCAUGUGAUUUUCUUGAGGCAUCUCAGGGAAUUCAAACAUGGGUCGCAAGGCCUGUGGUUUCGCGAUGAGCCCGCGGCCUAUCAGCUAGUUGGCGGGGUAAAGGCCCACCAAGGCUAAGACGGGUAGCUGGUCUGAGAGGACGACCAGCCACACUGGAACUGAGACACGGUCCAGACACCUACGGGUGGCAGCAGUCGAGAAUUUUUCACAAUGGGGGAAACCCUGAUGGAGCGACGCCGCGUGGGGGAUGAAGGGCUUCGGUUCGUAAACCCCUGUCAUUGGCGAACAAGUGUUGCGUCCUAAUACGGCGCAACUUGAUAGUAGCCGAAGAGGAAGGGACGGCUAACUCUGUGCCAGCAGCCGCGGUAAUACAGAGGUCCCGAGCGUUGUUCGGAUUCACUGGGCGUAAAGGGUGCGUAGGUGGUUGGGUAAGUUUGAGGUGAAAGCUCCGAGCUCAACUC